GAUGAACGCUGGCGGCGUGCCUAACACAUGCAAGUCGAGCGAACAGUCGAGGAGCUUUCUCCUCUGCCGUUAGCGGCGGACGGGUGAGUAACACGUAGAUAACCUACCUCUAUGACUGGGAUAACUACGGGAGAACGGAUCUAAUACUGGAUCAUAUAUUGAACCGCAUGGUUCAAUAGUGCAUGACGGCUUUGCUGUCACUUAUAGCUGGUUCCGCGUCGGAUUAGCUAGUUGGUAAGGUAACGGCUUACCAAGGCUACGAUGCGUAGCCGAUCUGAGAGGGUGAUCAGCCACACUGGAACUGAGACACGGUCCAGACUCCUACGGGAGGCAGCAGUAGGGAAUAUUGGGCAAUGGGCGAAAGCUUGACGCAGCCAUGCCGCGUGAGUGAAGAAGGUCUUCGGAUUGUAAAGCUCUGUUAUUAGGGAAGAACAGCUGUAUGAGAAAAUCUGGCCGUUUUGACGGUACCUAAAGAGUAAGCAACGGCUAACUACGUG
RNAcentral lists this ribosomal RNA (497 nucleotides) under uncultured bacterium. RNAcentral's name for it is "partial 16S ribosomal RNA". It matches the Rfam family "Bacterial small subunit ribosomal RNA", at positions 28 to 507 of the family's 1533-position model. The record is from RNAcentral.